Molecule: ribosomal RNA, 644 nt
Filed under: uncultured actinomycete
Lineage: Bacteria; Bacillati; Actinomycetota; Actinomycetes; Actinomycetales
Description: bacterial SSU rRNA
Rfam family: Bacterial small subunit ribosomal RNA
Source: RNAcentral
CGCGGCCUAUCAGCUUGUUGGUGGGGUAACGGCCCACCAAGGCUAUGACGGGUAGCUGGCGUGAGAGCGUGGCCAGCCACACUGGGACUGAGACACGGCCCAGACUCCUACGGGAGGCAGCAGCAGGGAAUCUUGCGCAAUGGGCGAAAGCCUGACGCAGCGACGCCGCGUGGGGGAUGAAGGCCUUCGGGUUGUAAACCCCUUUCAGGAGGGACGAAGCGAGAGUGACGGUACCUCCAGAAGAAGCCCCGGCCAACUACGUGCCAGCAGCCGCGGUAAUACGUAGGGGGCGAGCGUUGUCCGGAUUUAUUGGGCGUAAAGAGCUCGUAGGCGGCUCAGCGAGUCGGCCGUGAAAACCCGGGGCUCAACCCCGGGCCGCCGGUCGAUACUGCUGUGGCUAGAGUCCGGUAGAGGGGGGUGGAAUUCCCGGUGUAGCGGUGAAAUGCGCAGAUAUCGGGAGGAACACCGAUGGCGAAGGCAGCCCCCUGGGCCGGUACUGACGCUCAGGAGCGAAAGCUAGGGGAGCAAACAGGAUUAGAUACCCUGGUAGUCCUAGCCGUAAACGAUGGGCACUAGGUGUGGCGGGCGCAUCCACGUCUGCCGUGCCGAAGCUAACGCGUUAAGUGCCCCGCCUGGGAGUACGG